UCAGGCCUAACACAUGCAAGUCGAACGAAGUAGCAAUACUUAGUGGCAGACGGGUGAGUAACAUGUAGGUAUCUACCCUUUGGCCUGGAAUAACACGAGGAAACUUGUGCUAAUACCGGAUAAGUCUUUACGGAGAAAGCUUUAUGCACCAUUGGAUGAGCCUGCACUUGAUUAGUUUGUUGGUGGGGUAAUGGCCUACCAAGACUGUGAUCAAUAGCUGAUUUGAGAGGAUGAUCAGCCACAUUGGGACUGAGACACGGCCCAAACUCCUACGGGAGGCAGCAGUGGGGAAUCUUGCACAAUGGAGGAAACUCUGAUGCAGCGAUGCCGCGUGAGUGAAGAGGGCCUUUGGGUUGUAAAGCUCUUUCGUCGGGGAAGAAAAUGACUGUACCCUAAUAAGAAGGUCCGGCUAACUUCGUGCCAGCAGCCGCGGUAAUACGAAGGGACCCAGCGUAGUUCGGAAUUACUGGGCUUAAAGAGUUCGUAGGUGGUUGAAAAAGUUAGUGGUGAAAUCCCAGAGCUUAACUCUGGAACUGCCAUUAAAACUUUUCAGCUAGAGUAUGAUAGAGGAAAGCAGAAUUUCUAGUGUAGAGGUGAAAUUCGUAGAUAUUAGAAAGAAUACCAAUUGCGAAGGCAGCUUUCUGGAUCAUUACUGACACUGAGGAACGAAAGCAUGGGUAGCGAAGAGGAUUAGAUACCC
Molecule: ribosomal RNA, 700 nt
Filed under: uncultured bacterium
Lineage: Bacteria
Description: bacterial SSU rRNA
Rfam family: Bacterial small subunit ribosomal RNA
Source: RNAcentral